GUGUUUGCGCCUGCAGCAACACUUCCACUGUGGUAUCAAAAGCUCAGUUCAUUACUUCUUAAUUAAUUUUGCCUUGAGAAGCUCUAAGUUCUCAGAGGACCUGUAGGAUUUCCAGAGCGUUGCCUACAUAGCAUUGGCUUGUAGGCAGCAACCACAGCCAAAUGACAUUGAGAUCAGGAAUUCUAACCCAUGUAAUCCAAUUUGAUACAACGGCUGCAGCCUUUGGGAAGCUGAAAGACCCUUGAAGCCCACAGCACAGGGGAUAUCCUGCCUGGAGCUCCUGAUCUGACUUGCAUGUAUAUACAUUACACCAGAUUUCCACUAUCAGAUAGGGUAAUAACCAGCAUUAAAGGAGUGUGCUUGUUCACGUCUUCUAUGCGACAGAGGUGUUUUAUGUGCAGUUGUUUCAUCAUU
This 414-nucleotide long non-coding RNA is filed under the name Coturnix japonica (Japanese quail). Its description in RNAcentral is "lncRNA (ENSCJPG00005003058.1)". The record is from RNAcentral. Lineage: Eukaryota; Metazoa; Chordata; Aves; Galliformes; Phasianidae.